CUUGAGUUACUUCCAACAGGGGUCUAUUCGUCAAUCAAAACGUUAAUCUUGAAGGAGCAAAGGUUUGUUCAUGAGCUGUCAUGCUCGCUAGGCGAAGCCCACGUGUUUUGAAAAAAAAAAGGGAAAGACUUGAGUUACUUCCAACAGGGGUCUAUUCGUCAAUCAAAACGUUAAUCUUGAAGGAGCAAAGGUUUGUUCAUGAGCUGUCAUGCUCGCUAGGCGAAGCCCA
This 229-nucleotide long non-coding RNA is filed under the name Lathyrus oleraceus (garden pea). RNAcentral describes it as "Pisum sativum (pea) long non-coding RNA (PSAT_LNC005307)". Lineage: Eukaryota; Viridiplantae; Streptophyta; Magnoliopsida; Fabales; Fabaceae. The record is from RNAcentral.